UCUUUGAGCUCAGUGCUAGCAAAUUUACUAAACACUAGCUGUGCCCGGCCACGCGUUGCUGUGGCUUAGUCUGGUGGUGUUGGUCAGUCUACAUUAGGUUGUAUUUAUGCUGUGACCUCCACCUUCUUUAUACUCACAUUAGUAGUAGUAUUUGAAGUCUGUUACCUUCUUCAAUUUUUGUGUUGAUUGAUAAUUGCUUGAGAUCCCUGUUGUCUUUGGUUUGUUGUUAAUUGUAAUGUCUGAUUCUGCUGAGUGCGGUUUAUAUUUUUAUUGUAGUACAAUAGUCUUUUUUUUGUUUCGCCUGUGUAGGUGUUUAUUAUUGUUGUUGUUGUAGUGGUCAUGAAGGUUGGAUAAGUUAGAGGCUACUGUAUUGUUUUUUGGAGGCCCAGUGUAGCACUGACUGGCCUCUCAGCCUCAGUGCCUGGCUGUUUCUUGCCUGUGAUGGUGUUGAUUCUUAUUGUUGUUGUUGUUGUCAUUGUUAUUACUGUAAUUGUUUUUUUUGGAGGCCAAGUGUGAAUGUAGGGAUUGGGGAGGAGGAUGAGUUGUGUUGUCAAAUUUUGUAUUUGUUAUAGUCACAAUGCGUUGUUGUGAGUUUUGUGGGUCCGGAUUGUGUUUUUGUGGUGUGGUUGUGUUGUUACAACUGAGAGGCAAGCUUUUGUGUUGUGUUGCCAAGUUUUGUAUUUCUGGGGCGUUUAGUUGUGUUGUUAUAGUAACGAUGCAUUGUUGUGAGUUUUGUGGGUCCGGAUUGUGGUUUUGUUUGUUGUUAGUUUUGUGGGUCCGGAUUGUGGUUUUGUGGUGUGGUUGUGUUCUUACAACUGGGAGGCAAGGCUUUUGCGUUGUGUUGUCAAAUUUUGUAUUUCUGGGGCGUUUAGUUUUGUGGGUCCGGAUUGUGGUUUUGUGGUGUAGUUGUGUUGUUACAACCGGGAGAAAAGGCUUUUGUGUUGUGUUGUCAAGUUUUAUAUUUCUGGGGCGUUUAGUUAUGUGCCAAGUUUCGUAUUUCUGGGGCGUUUAGUUGUGUUGUUAUAGUCACAAUGCGUUGUUGUAAGUUUUAUGGGUCCGGAUUGUGGUUUUGUGGUGUGGUUGUGUUGUUACAACCUGGAGGGAAGGCUUUUGCUUUGUGUUGCCAAGUUUCGUAUUUCUGGGGCGUUUAGUUGUGUUGUUAUAGUCACGAUGCGUUGUUGUGAGUUUUGUGGGUCCUGUGUGGUUUUGUGGUGUGGUUGUGUUGUUACAACUGGGAGGCAAGGCUUUUGCAUUGUGUUGCCAAGUUUUGUAUUUCUGGGGCGCUUAGUUGUGUUGUUAUCGCAUGAUGCGUUGUUGUGAGUUUUGUGGGUCUGGAUUGUAGUUUUGUGGUGUGGUUGUGUUGUUGUAACCUGGAGGCAAGCCUUUUGCAUUGUGUUGCCAAAUUUCGUAUUUCUGGGAUGUUUAGUUUUGUUGUUAUAGUCACUGCGCAAACAACUUUAUCAUUUUAUAUAUAUAGAAUAUACAUCCAUCUAGCUGUAAGUUUGUCUGUUCAGAACUAUUCUGGGUAUUUGAGCCCAAACCCAAAAGCUAGGGAUAGCCCUUAGUAAGGUAAUUAAGUGGUAUGCAUUAAGAAACCACUGUGCUUGGCCACAGCUUACCACACAUACACACUGAUUUUCUCAUUUGGAAAUUGGGACAUCUUAUCUAAGGAGUCUGUUCCCAGAUUAAGGCAAAAUGAACCUUCUCACUAAUGUGAGGAGAUGGAAUAAAAACAUUGUUUAAUAUCAUUUAAUUAAUUUUAGUUGGAAGGUGGAUGCAGAGCACCAAAUGAGCCCUAGGAAGGAAAGUGGAAGUAAAUGAAAUACAUAUUUUGAGGCAUAAAUCAAGACUUGCAAAUAGUAGCAGCUUGCCUAGGAAAGCUGGAGAUUUGCACACAGCUCUUUUCUCUUGCCUGGAGUUCAGCACACCAGAAAUGGACUGUUUGUGCCCUCAUCACCCUCAUUGGUGCAAUGGGUUAAAGCCUUGCGCUGGCAGGACUGCUGACUUGAAGAUUGGGUUGCCAGUUCAUAUCCAACCCAAGGGGCGUGCGGAUGAGCUCCCUCUGUCAGCUCCAGUUGCAUGCGGGGACAUGAGAGAAGCCUCCCACAAAGAUGGUAAAAACAUCAAAACAUCCAGGCGUCCCCUGGGCAACGUCCUUACAGGCAGCCAAUUCUCUCACACCAGAAACGACUUGGAGUUUCUCAAGUCCCUCCUGACACGAAAAAAUUCCUGCCUGGAGAUACCCCUUGAAACUGAGGACUCAGAACCAAGCUCUGAAAUCUAGCACCUAUCUUGUUUUUCUAAGAAAAAUACUAGAUACAAACAUACAUGCUAUUGUCAGAGCAGGGAUUUAAUUUUCAAAGUUGAAAGAUGCUAAAUCAUCUUGAUUGUCAAACAUAGCUAGAAUCCUAUAAAAGAAAAGAAAACCAGCAACCAGGAUGAUGAUAAAAAUGUCAUUGAACUACAUCCAGCCUGUAAACUUGUCAGAGCAGGAUUUUUUUGUGUGUGGCAGAGGGAGGGGGCAGGAAUGAUUGUUACCAUAUGGCCUUAUUAAAGUUGAGUUAGAAUAGAACCAGGAAGGUUUUACAAAAUGGGCAUGCCAUGCAAAGUCACUGGUUGCUGAAUCAAUACGACUUUGCCCAGGAGACUGUAAUGAUUAAAAAAGGCCUAAAUCUAUUAGUUCCAGGUAGAGUAGGCCCAUUGAAUCAGUGAAAUUUACAGAGGUCUUCUUGUACAGUUACUGUAUAUUUAACUAUUGUUGGGGACUAACCAUUGGAUCAUGCCUUAUUGACCCAUUUAUGUGACAAGCUGUAUUAAGUCUUUUAAAUCCACGUUGAUAGCAAAUUCAAUACUUGUUUUCAGAUUCAUAAAUACACUGUAAUCUAUUCAGUUGCAUUAUUUAUUGUUGUAGAGAGCAUUUGGUACAAUGUUUAAAAUGUCUUUAAAGGUCUAAGAAAUUAUUGGCAAUUGUUACAAUUAUUAUUACUACUACUACUGCUGCUACUGUUACUACUACUAUUAUUACAAUUGUUGCAACAAGUAGCAUUUGAGAGAAUGGAAGGGAUUUUGCUCGUGGUGAUAUUUGCUCUUUUUUGACCAUUAUGGCAACUUCACUAUGAAGUUUUCUUGGGAGUAAUGUAGGCAUCAGGCAAAAGCAAACUGCUGAAGCCUUUCCACAUUAAUCUGUUAUUUCUCAUUAAUCACUUGCUUCCUUGACCACACUCUGAUAUUUAUUGACUUCAUGUGUCCCAUUUACUCUGUGAAAAGUUGGGUAGGGUAUGUUCCCACCUUACCCCAUCCUCAUGUUAGCAUGUUUGUUCAUAGAAGCGAUAAAACUUGCUGGUUCAUGUUAGUUCAUGGCAGUGAUAAAAUUUGAAUCAAAAUGUUCAUAGUCACUGCACUUCAGUUGAUAGCUUGGCUGCCUGAAACUUCACUGCAUGCCAAUUUACAAAUCUACUUUCUGGUUUUUUGUCACAAUUGCUGUAUUCAAAUAUUAGAAUUAAAGUAAUUUUAAAUAGAUGCUACAGAGCAGAAUUAAGAUUAUUUUGCACAAGAAAAUUAAUAUGUACUGUAAUUUCCUUAAUAUGUCUAAUAUUCAAGACCUCUUGGUUAAAAUAAAUUCCUUUCAGUACAAUUUGUUUAACUGCAGUGUGCCAACAUUCUUAACUACCGAUGUGUUGUAUCCACAGUCAGAGCAUUAACUAUGCAUGGAACAAUUAAAUAAGAACCAUAUUUUACCUUCAUCUUCCUGCCAUACCCUUCCUCUGUGUGCUGCUUAGAAGCUGUGUGAAGCAGUGAAAGUAAAAUAUUUAUAUUUACAUUGUUUAGAUAUGGAGCUUUAUCUCAUGAAAGGAUUUAUCAGUUAGCAUAAAUAAGCAGACUAGAAUAUACAAUAUCUAACGACACAACUCAUGAUAAUAUUCUAAGGGCUACUAAAGCUUUGGAAUUCCUAGAUAGAGAACUUUAGUGCAUGAGGGAAGCAAACUGGCAUUGCCGUUGGACCAUCAACUUUGGUUAUGAUCACUAUCUUAUGACAUUAUGAGCAUCCGGCAACUUUUGCUUCCCUUUCAUUUCUAUCUUGUUUAUUCAUUCAGUUGCUUCUGACUCUUUGUGACCUCAUGGAUCAGUUCCCUGUUGGCUGUUGCCACUCCCAGCUCCUUCAGGGUCAAGCCAGCCUUGGUCGACCCCUCUUCCUUUUUCCUUCCAUUUUCCGCAGCAUCAUUAUCUUCUCCAAGCUUUCCUGUCUUCUCAUUAUGUGGCUAAAGUACUUCAGCUUUGCCUCUAAUAUCCUUCCCUCCAGUGAGCAGUCGGGCAUUAUUUCCUGGAGGAUGGACUGGUUGGAUCUUCUUGUGGUCCAAGGCACUCUCAGGAUUUUCCUCCAACACCACAGUUCAAAAGCGUCUAUCUUCCUUUGCUCAGCCUUCUUUAUGGUCCAGCUCUUGCAUCCAUAGGUUACUAUGAGGAAUACCAUUGCUUUAACUAUGCGGACCUUUGUUGCCAGUGUGAUGUCUCUACUCUUCACUAUUUUAUUGAGGUUGAUCAUUGC
Long non-coding RNA from Anolis carolinensis (green anole), 4546 nucleotides. The record is from Ensembl. Lineage: Eukaryota; Metazoa; Chordata; Lepidosauria; Squamata; Anolidae.